GAUAGCCCGGCGAAAGCCGGAUUAAUACCGCAUACGAUCCAUGGAUGAAAGCGGGGGACCUUCGGGCCUCGCGCUAUUGGGGUGGCCGAUGGCAGAUUAGGUAGUUGGUGGGGUAAAGGCCUACCAAGCCGACGAUCUGUAGCUGGUCUGAGAGGACGACCAGCCACACUGGGACUGAGACACGGCCCAGACUCCUACGGGAGGCAGCAGUGGGGAAUUUUGGACAAUGGGCGAAAGCCUGAUCCAGCAAUGCCGCGUGUGUGAAGAAGGCCUUCGGGUUGUAAAGCACUUUUGUCCGGAAAGAAAUCCUUUGGGCUAAUACCCCGGGGGGAUGACGGUACCGGAAGAAUAAGCACCGGCUAACUACGUGCCAGCAGCCGCGGUAAUACGUAGGGUGCGAGCGUUAAUCGGAAUUACUGGGCGUAAAGCGUGCGCAGGCGGUGAUGUAAGACCGAUGUGAAAUCCCCGGGCUUAACCUGGGAACUGCAUUGGUGACUGCAUCGCUGGAGUAUGGCAGAGGGGGGUGGAAUUCCACGUGUAGCAGUGAAAUGCGUAGAGAUGUGGAGGAACACCGAUGGCGAAGCAGCCCCCUGGGCCAAUACUGACGCUC
RNAcentral lists this ribosomal RNA (610 nucleotides) under Burkholderia sp. UFLA04-405. RNAcentral describes it as "bacterial SSU rRNA". It matches the Rfam family "Bacterial small subunit ribosomal RNA", at positions 142 to 748 of the family's 1533-position model. Lineage: Bacteria; Pseudomonadati; Pseudomonadota; Betaproteobacteria; Burkholderiales; Burkholderiaceae. The record is from RNAcentral.